AACGAACGCUGGCGGCAUGCCUAACACAUGCAAGUCGAACGAGACUUUCGGGUCUAGUGGCGCACGGGUGCGUAACGCGUGGGAGCCUGCCCUUAGGUUCGGAAUAACUCCCCGAAAGGGGUGCUAAUACCGGAUAAUGUCUUCGGACCAAAGAUUUAUCGCCUUUGGAUGGGCCCGCGUUGGAUUAGCUAGUUGGUAGGGUAAAAGCCUACCAAGGCGACGAUCCAUAGCUGGUCUGAGAGGAUGAUCAGCCACACUGGGACUGAGACACGGCCCAGACUCCUACGGGAGGCAGCAGUGGGGAAUAUUGGACAAUGGGCGAAAGCCUGAUCCAGCAAGGCCGCGUGAGUGAUGAAGGCCUUAGGGUUGUAAAGCUCUUUUACCCGGGAUGAUAAUGACAGUACCGGGAGAAUAAGCUCCGGCUAACUCCGUG
This 433-nucleotide ribosomal RNA is filed under the name uncultured bacterium. Its description in RNAcentral is "partial 16S ribosomal RNA". It matches the Rfam family "Bacterial small subunit ribosomal RNA", at positions 29 to 507 of the family's 1533-position model. The record is from RNAcentral.